GACGAACGCUGGCGGCGUGCUUAACACAUGCAAGUCGCACGGAAAGGCCCUGCUUUUGUGGGGUGCUCGAGUGGCGAACGGGUGAGUAACACGUGAGUAACCUGCCCUUGACUUUGGGAUAACUUCAGGAAACUGGGGCUAAUACCGGAUAGGAGCUCCUGCUGCAUGGUGGGGGUUGGAAAGUUUCGGCGGUUGGGGAUGGACUCGCGGCUUAUCAGCUUGUUGGUGGGGUAGUGGCUUACCAAGGCUUUGACGGGUAGCCGGCCUGAGAGGGUGACCGGCCACAUUGGGACUGAGAUACGGCCCAGACUCCUAAGGGAGGCAGCAGUGGGGAAUAUUGCACAAUGGGCGGAAGCCGGAUGCAGCAACGCCGCGUGAGGGAUGACGGCCUUCGGGUUGUAAACCGCUUUCGCCUGUGACGAAGCGUGAGUGAAGGUAAUGGGUAAAGAAGCACCGGCUAACUACGUG
Molecule: ribosomal RNA, 468 nt
Filed under: uncultured bacterium
Lineage: Bacteria
Description: partial 16S ribosomal RNA
Rfam family: Bacterial small subunit ribosomal RNA
Source: RNAcentral